This 167-nucleotide ribosomal RNA is filed under the name uncultured bacterium. Its description in RNAcentral is "partial 16S ribosomal RNA". It matches the Rfam family "Bacterial small subunit ribosomal RNA", at positions 1334 to 1500 of the family's 1533-position model. The record is from RNAcentral.
GCUAGUAAUCGCGGAUCAGAAUGCCGCGGUGAAUACGUUCCCGGGUCUUGUACACACCGCCCGUCACACCAUGGGAGCCGGAAAUGCCCGAAGUCAGUGACCCAACCGCAAGGAGGGAGCUGCCGAAGGUGGAGCUGGUAACUGGGGUGAAGUCGUAACAAGGUAUC